CAGUCGACGGUGAAGAGGAGCUUGCUUCUUGGAUCAGUGGCGAACGGGUGAGUAACACGUGAGCAAUCUGCCCUUGACUCUGGGAUAACUGCGGGAAACUGUAGCUAAUACCGGAUAUUACCUUGGAAGGCAUCUUCUGGGGUGGAAAGAAUUUUGGUCAAGGAUGAGCUCGCGGCCUAUCAGCUAGUUGGUGAGGUAAUGGCUCACCAAGGCGACGACGGGUAGCCGGCCUGAGAGGGUGACCGGCCACACUGGGACUGAGACACGGCCCAGACUCCUACGGGAGGCAGCAGUGGGGAAUAUUGCACAAUGGGCGCAAGCCUGAUGCAGCAACGCCGCGUGAGGGACGACGGCCUUCGGGUUGUAAACCUCUUUUAGUAGGGAAGAAGUGACUGGGUUUUCCUGGAAGUGACGGUACCUGCAGAAAAAGCACCGGCUAACUACGUGCCAGCAGCCGCGGUAAUACGUAGGGUGCAAGCGUUGUCCGGAAUUAUUGGGCGUAAAGAGCUCGUAGGCGGUUUGUUGCGUCUGCUGUGAAAACCCGAGGCUCAACCUCGGGCCUGCAGUGGGUACGGGCAGACUAGAGUGCGGUAGGGGAGAUUGGAAUUCCUGGUGUAGCGGUGGAAUGCGCAGAUAUCAGGAGGAACACCAAUGGCGAAGGCAGAUCUCUGGGCCGUAACUGACGCUGAGGAGCGAAAGCAUGGGGAGC
This 709-nucleotide ribosomal RNA is filed under the name uncultured bacterium. RNAcentral's name for it is "bacterial SSU rRNA". It matches the Rfam family "Bacterial small subunit ribosomal RNA", at positions 59 to 769 of the family's 1533-position model. The record is from RNAcentral.